Molecule: ribosomal RNA, 441 nt
Filed under: uncultured Lactobacillus sp.
Lineage: Bacteria; Bacillati; Bacillota; Bacilli; Lactobacillales; Lactobacillaceae
Description: bacterial SSU rRNA
Rfam family: Bacterial small subunit ribosomal RNA
Source: RNAcentral
CAGCAGUAGGGAAUCUUCCACAAUGGACGAAAGUCUGAUGGAGCAAUGCCGCGUGAGUGAAGAAGGGUUUCGGCUCGUAAAACUCUGUUGUUAAAGAAGAACACCUUUGAGAGUAACUGUUCAAGGGUUGACGGUAUUUAACCAGAAAGCCACGGCUAACUACGUGCCAGCAGCCGCGGUAAUACGUAGGUGGCAAGCGUUGUCCGGAUUUAUUGGGCGUAAAGCGAGCGCAGGCGGUUUUUUAAGUCUGAUGUGAAAGCCUUCGGCUUAACCGGAGAAGUGCAUCGGAAACUGGGAGACUUGAGUGCAGAAGAGGACAGUGGAACUCCAUGUGUAGCGGUGGAAUGCGUAGAUAUAUGGAAGAACACCAGUGGCGAAGGCGGCUGUCUAGUCUGUAACUGACGCUGAGGCUCGAAAGCAUGGGUAGCGAACAGGAUUAGA